RNAcentral lists this transfer RNA (73 nucleotides) under Pteridomonas danica. RNAcentral describes it as "tRNA-Tyr". Lineage: Eukaryota; Dictyochophyceae; Pedinellales. The record is from RNAcentral.
UCCAUCAAUAAAAAGAAAAUAUUUUUAAUUUAUAAAUGUAUUUUAUAAUUGUAUAUAUAAUAUAAAAUAUAAU